RNAcentral lists this long non-coding RNA (332 nucleotides) under Capsella rubella. RNAcentral's name for it is "long non-coding RNA (CRUB_LNC001461)". Lineage: Eukaryota; Viridiplantae; Streptophyta; Magnoliopsida; Brassicales; Brassicaceae. The record is from RNAcentral.
UUCGGCUUUUAUUAAGCUGGAAAGCCGGAUUAACCCACGCGCCGCAGCUACAUUGCAUCCCAGACCAGUUGAAAUAACCUAACCGACCAUUACAUCCCAGACAGAGAAGCUUCUCUUCCACUAAUCCAUCAUGUACUGUAACAAUCAAAUAGUGUUAAGAUCAUUUACUCAUUAGAAAGAACUGCAAAGACUCUUGUUGACAUACAGUAGAUAAAUCAAUAUAGAGAAAGGUUCUCACUUGUCUGCAUCCAUUUCAUAGGCUCGACAAAGAUCGAGGAGCAUUGCACUUGUUCGGGGUUCCCACUUCUCUUUUUCCAAGCAAAGCAUUCUUC